GAUGAACGCUUUCUUCUUUCCUAAUACAUGCAAGUCGAGCGAACGGACGAGAAGCUUGCUUCUCCGAUGUUAGCGGCGGACGGGUGAGUAACACGUGGAUAACCUACCUAUAAGACUGGGAUAACUUCGGGAAACCGGAUCUAAUACCGGAUGAUAUUUUGAACCGCAUGGUUCAAAAGUGAAAGACGGUCUUGCUGUCACUUAUAGAUGGAUCCGCGCUGCAUUAGCUAGUUGGUGAGGUAACGGCUUACCAAGGCAACGAUGCAUAGCCGACCUGAGAGGGUGAUCGGCCACACUGGAACUGAGACACGGUCCAGACUCCUACGGGAGGCAGCAGUAGGGAAUCUUCCGCAAUGGGCGAAAGCCUGACGGAGCAACGCCGCGUGAGUGAUGAAGGUCUUCGGAUCGUAAAACUCUGUUAUUAGGGAAGAACAUAUGUGUAAGUAACUGUGCACAUCUUGACGGUACCUAAUCAGAAAGCCACGGCUAACUACGUG
RNAcentral lists this ribosomal RNA (497 nucleotides) under uncultured bacterium. RNAcentral's name for it is "partial 16S ribosomal RNA". It matches the Rfam family "Bacterial small subunit ribosomal RNA", at positions 28 to 507 of the family's 1533-position model. The record is from RNAcentral.